GUGAAUUUCUUUGUUGUAUAUGCACUGUUUUCUGAUAAUUUUGUUAACUCAAAGAAAAAUAAUUGAUUACUCAAAAAUAGAAACAUCUCUGCUGAAGAUAGUUUCUAUAUAUAUAUUGAAAGUCAUUUUUCUGAGUUGAACUCUCUGUUAUAUUUCAUUCAUUUUCAGAGUAUAUAACUACUUCUUCAUUCCUCUUACUGUGAAUCCUCUUCAUUAUCUUUCUUUCUUUUUUCAUUUUCUUUAUACUUAUCUGCAAUGUGCUUGUCUAUUUGCUGUAAUGAAUUUCUUUUCAUAUUCUUCUUCUUUUAUCAUCAUGACAU
RNAcentral lists this small RNA (320 nucleotides) under Histoplasma capsulatum. RNAcentral describes it as "hypothetical RNA". Lineage: Eukaryota; Fungi; Ascomycota; Eurotiomycetes; Onygenales; Ajellomycetaceae. RNAcentral also lists the same sequence under 1 other name. The record is from RNAcentral.